ACAUUCAGUAAAAGGAGAGAAGAUUAGCACUCUUAUUGAAAAGGAUGGAAGUAGUGGCCUUUACAACUCAUAUAUGAUUAAGGCAUUGCCACCUAUUUUGUGCCAUCCAACCAUGAGGCUGG
Molecule: small nuclear RNA, 122 nt
Organism: Antechinus flavipes (yellow-footed antechinus)
Lineage: Eukaryota; Metazoa; Chordata; Mammalia; Dasyuromorphia; Dasyuridae
Source: RefSeq, a predicted model, not a curated record